This 253-nucleotide ribosomal RNA is filed under the name uncultured bacterium. RNAcentral describes it as "partial 16S ribosomal RNA". It matches the Rfam family "Bacterial small subunit ribosomal RNA", at positions 524 to 776 of the family's 1533-position model. The record is from RNAcentral.
UACGUAGGGUGCGAGCGUUAAUCGGAAUUACUGGGCGUAAAGCGUGCGCAGGCGGUUUUGUAAGACAGAGGUGAAAUCCCCGGGCUCAACCUGGGAACUGCCUUUGUGACUGCAAGGCUUGAGUGCGGCAGAGGGGGAUGGAAUUCCGCGUGUAGCAGUGAAAUGCGUAGAUAUGCGGAGGAACACCGAUGGCGAAGGCAAUCCCCUGGGCCUGCACUGACGCUGAGGCGCGAAAGCCAGGGGAGCAAACGGG